This 520-nucleotide ribosomal RNA is filed under the name uncultured bacterium. Its description in RNAcentral is "bacterial SSU rRNA". It matches the Rfam family "Bacterial small subunit ribosomal RNA", at positions 84 to 585 of the family's 1533-position model. The record is from RNAcentral.
GAGCGAGUAGAGUGGCGCACGGGUGAGUAACACGUAGGUAAUCUACCUUCGGAUGGGGAAUAACAACCGGAAACGGUUGCUAAUACCGCAUAAUGCAGCGGCACCUAAUGGUGACAGUUGUUAAAGCGGGAGAUCGAAAGACCUCGCGUCUGAAGAGGAGCCUGCGGCAGAUUAGCUAGUUGGUAAGGUAACGGCUUACCAAGGCGAUGAUCUGUAGCCGGCCUGAGAGGGCGGUCGGCCACACUGACACUGACAUACGGGUCAGACUCCUACGGGAGGCAGCAGUCGGGAAUUUUGGGCAAUGGGCGAAAGCCUGACCCAGCAACGCCGCGUGAAGGAUGAAAUCCCUCGGGAUGUAAACUUCGCAAGAACGGGAAGAAUAAGUCGGUGUUAACACCACCGGCGAUGACGGUACUGUUUGUAAGCUCCGGCUAACUCCGUGCCAGCAGCCGCGGUAAUACGGGGGGAGCAAGCGUUGUUCGGAUUUACUGGGCGUAAAGGGCGCGUAGGCGGCCACCGC